AAAAUAAACUUUGUUCCAAAGAUAAACGGAGGUCUUACGGGUUUGGAACAACAUGAGGGCAACCCUCACAGGGAAAGGAAAAAAAGGCAAGCUGAAGGAGCAGCUUGAGCCAGAAAAAACCAACGCAAUUUUAGAUGCAGUGAGGGAGCGAUUCCCCAACACCGAGGUGGCAGAGAUCCGGGCCCUUCUACGGAGGAAGUGCAACAAUGAGAGCUACAAGGCCUCUAGUAACUCAAGUCAGAGCUACAGGUGCUGGUCAUAUAAUUAGAAUAUCGUGAAAAAGUUCAUUUUUUUUAUUGUAAAUUAUUUUUAAAAAUGAAACUUUCAUAUAUUCUAGAUUCCCUACAUGUAAAGUAAAACAUUUC
Long non-coding RNA from Megalobrama amblycephala (Wuchang bream), 365 nucleotides. RefSeq lists it as uncharacterized. The transcript has 3 exons. The record is from RefSeq and is a predicted model, not a curated record. Lineage: Eukaryota; Metazoa; Chordata; Actinopteri; Cypriniformes; Xenocyprididae.